GGGAUGUCCUCCACCUUUUCAAUCUGAUUUGCUCUUUGCCAUGCAGACCUGUGGAUGAAGAGCCAGAGUCCUCCAAGGUGAAGCUGGACUGAAUAUUUCUGUCCAUAAGACUAUUAGAAUCCCCCAAAGUGGUAUACUGGUGAGGACCUCACCAGCAGCUGCUGUCUCUCCAAUGCAGAGCUUCCUGCCUCCUGCCCAGCCCCUGCUGUCAGAGAUACUUGGUGCCUCCGGUCCUGGAGACUUCCUUGAGUUCUGUGACUCAAAACAACUUCCUUCCCCCGUGGGUAUCAACAGUGAGAGAUCUUCAGAUGCGAUCAGGCACUCCAGUCCUUCCAUCUCCCACAAUGUUGGAGACCUGUGUUCCCUGCUGUAGAAAUCUCUGCCAUUCCCUUUAUCUCUGAAGACCGAUGGACUUGACUGUCAGCUUAGCAUGGUUUCAGGAGGGAAGGAAGAUGAACCCCUGUGUUUAAGCUGCCGUGUUAAAUGGGAGGCACCUGGUCUUUUUUCUUUUUCUUUUUUAAAGACUGGGUCUCGCUCUGUUAUCCAAGCUGGAGUGCAGUGAUGUGGUCAUGGCUCACCUCAGCCUUGAACGCUCAGGCUCAAGCGAUCCUCCAGCCUCAGCCUCCUGAAUUGCUGGGAUUAUAGCACCUGGCCAAUUUUAAAAUCUUUCUGUAGCGACAGGAUCUCACUAUGUUGCCCAGGCUGGUCUUGAACUCCUGGCCUCAAGGAAUUCUCCCACAACCUCCCAAAGUGCUAAGAUUACAGGCAUGAGCCACGGUGCCCAGCCACCUCUGGUCUUCCCUCAGUUUGCUUUCAUUAAAAGACAAAC
This is a long non-coding RNA of Nomascus leucogenys (northern white-cheeked gibbon), 829 nucleotides long. RefSeq lists it as uncharacterized. The record is from RefSeq and is a predicted model, not a curated record. Lineage: Eukaryota; Metazoa; Chordata; Mammalia; Primates; Hylobatidae. The transcript has 3 exons.